Molecule: long non-coding RNA, 982 nt
Filed under: Trifolium pratense (red clover)
Lineage: Eukaryota; Viridiplantae; Streptophyta; Magnoliopsida; Fabales; Fabaceae
Description: long non-coding RNA (TPRA_LNC003541)
Source: RNAcentral
AAAAAAAUUGUUACAUUGAUUAGUGUAAAAGAAAAUUUUGAAUGAAAAAAUAAAAAAGCUGAAAAAAUAAUAUUGAGCCAAAAAAGUGUCAAGUAGUUGUUUUUACCUUUGUUUCUUGUUUUCUUCUCAUUUUUGUUUGUAUCUUUAUGUAUCCUGAAAGGAAAAAACAUAUUAUUGCAUUAAUUAGUGAAAAAUAAAAUGAUAACAAUGCUUUUGAUAAGUAUGUGGUGCUGCUGUUUUUUGUUUAAUGAAAAAGAAAUUAGUGAAGAUUGAUAUUCAUUUGCUUGACUUUUUAUUUAUUUUUGGAGAAGUGCAUCUUCUAAGCUCUUAUAUAUUUUCUGCAACAAAUUUUUUUUUCAAAAAUAAUUGUUAUUAGUUGUUUUUAUUCUAUAGAAUCAUUGAUGUAAAGGAAAGUUGAAGAAAAAAUAUGUUUGUUAAAAACAUGAUAUAAAAGAUAGAAAAAAUAGAUGAACAAAGAAAAUGCGAGUUUUUUUAGGACAUACCUUUGUGAAGAUUUCAUUUUCUUUUAUUCUUCUUUCUCUGCAAAAUAAGAAGAACAAACAUUAGUAGUAAGGAAAAAAUAUGCAGAAGAAAAGAGAAAAUGAAAGAGAAGAUAGAACAUGANNNNUUGGACAGUGUGUAAAUAGCUUAUGAAAUACCAGAUAUAACCUUGCUUUUUGAAAUUUAUCAUGCAACUUUUGAGUGGUAGAGAACUCCAAUUUUGUGGGGUUAUAAGGCAAAAAAACGGAAAAGGGCAAUGGGCAAUUUGGGGAGAGUUGCAGAAAAGCUUUGAGGAGCAUUGUGGAGCUUAUGUGCCAAAUAUGACAAAAAUACCCCCAAUUAUUCAAAACGCAAAAACCAAAAAAUUAAGGGUGAGAGGGACAAUUCAGUCUUUGAUUAGUAGUUGAUAGUUGAUAUUAUUUAACAAGCCUGCAGAUAUGAAAUUAUUAGAUCGGGAAAUCCAUAUUUAACACUCUUAUCG